UCCCGGCCAAUGCACAGAUACAC
This 23-nucleotide non-coding RNA is filed under the name Cricetulus griseus (Chinese hamster). Lineage: Eukaryota; Metazoa; Chordata; Mammalia; Rodentia; Cricetidae. The record is from RNAcentral.